Molecule: ribosomal RNA, 299 nt
Filed under: uncultured Pseudomonadota bacterium
Lineage: Bacteria; Pseudomonadati; Pseudomonadota
Description: uncultured proteobacterium partial 16S ribosomal RNA
Rfam family: Bacterial small subunit ribosomal RNA
Source: RNAcentral
AACGAACGCUGGCGGCAGGCCUAACACAUGCAAGUCGAACGCUCGUAGCAAUACGAGAGUGGCAGACGGGUGAGUAACACGUGGGAACCUUCCCUUCGGUCGGGAAUAGCUCAGGGGAAACUUGGGGGUAAUACCGGAUACGCCCUUCGGGGGAAAGAUUUAUCGCCGUUGGAUGGGCCCGCGUCGGAUUAGCUAGUUGGUGGGGUAACGGCUCACCAAGGCGACGAUCCGUAGCUGGUCUGAGAGGAUGAUCAGCCACACUGGGACUGAGACACGGCCCAGACUCCUACGGGAGGCAG